UACGUAGGUGGCAAGCGUUGUUCGGAUUUACUGGGCGUACAGGGAGCGUAGGCGGUUGGAUAAGCCCUCCGUGAAAUCUCCAGGCUUAACCUGGAAAGUGCAGAGGGGACUGUUCAGCUAGAGGAUGGGAGAGGAGCGCGGAAUUCCCGGUGUAGCGGUGAAAUGCGUAGAGAUCGGGAGGAAGGCCGGUGGCGAAGGCGGCGCUCUGGAACAUUUCUGACGCUGAGGCUCGAAAGCGUGGGGAGCAAACAGG
RNAcentral lists this ribosomal RNA (253 nucleotides) under uncultured bacterium. RNAcentral describes it as "partial 16S ribosomal RNA". It matches the Rfam family "Bacterial small subunit ribosomal RNA", at positions 524 to 776 of the family's 1533-position model. The record is from RNAcentral.